GAAUUAGGCUGUCCCCUUUUGAGGGAGCAGCUCGGAUGGUGGCGUAACCUCGCAGGCCCUGGGCAGGGGCUCCGGGGAAUUCCUGGCCAAAAGGCUUCUCAUCUGUAACUGGUGAAGCCCGGAAGAGCUUGUUGUUCAAGAGGAAAUCUUGUGUUACUUCUUUAUGAAGGACUCCAGCCUGGUGGAGAUGAAUGAGUCCUGAAGAUGGAAUCGAAGCUGUUUGGGCACAAUACUUUAAUCAGCAUUUAAUGACCCAGUCGAAAAUUCAUUGUUUGGACCCAAGCACUGGUGGGAAAGGCAGGAGGGGAGGCCUGCCUUCCUUCCUCCCUCCCGAGCCCUACAGCAGGCCAUGGAGUGGUGAGCGAGUUCGUACAGUGCCAACCACAUUCCCAGAAACUUCCAGCAGAGGUUAAUCCUGCUCCUCUCAGGUGGGCUUGGCCCAUUCUCUAGACUUUGGAAGGUAAUGUUCUAUAGAGGCCUGUUCUGAAGCUUUACCAGGUCAAACCGGAGAAGAACCCAACAAGUAACUCAUCCCAGCCUAACUAUUCUUCAAGGGCAAUCAACCUACAGCAUCCAAGCACAGAGAAAUCAAAUCCAUGGAGAAUCUUCAAAUUAGGCUCAGAAUCCAUUUGGGUCAAUGAAUUUACUGUUAUUAAGAUCUUAGUUGUGUUCAACCAUGAUUUGACAUACCUUAGAGUGAGAAGAUAUUCUUCCUGGCCUCAGACUAGUUGAAGGUAGAGAGAGAGACAGGCCCUUGGGUGUGGGGAGACCUCUCCUGGGAUAAUACACACAAAAAACCAAGAGCUGCUCACUGUGGUGCAGGAGACAGCAGGGCCUGAAGCCAGAGGCUCUGUGUCCUUGAAUACAAUGUUUUACUCCUCUGACCCCUGUUACUGUGAUUUGGAGAGGCAGACAAUAUAGGAUGGGCUUUGCAGGCAGGGAGGUCCAGUUAUAAUCCCAGCUCUUACUAAGUUGGGUAAGACUCACUCUGAGACUUAGUUUCUUCUGUCAUCUCUCAAUAGAAUCAUAAAGGUACUUUCCUCUUAGUGUUGUUUUAAAAUUCAGUAAAAUAAUGCAGGCUUAGCACAGGGUCUGAUGUAAAUUUUCAAUGAAUUAUCGUUGUCAAUAUUGUUCUGGAAAACAAGAGGGCAUAUUAGAAGAUCAAAAGUACUGCCAAGCAUUGAAGUGCCAAUUCUAGAUCCAGUCUCAGCCCUCUGAGAAUGGAUAUCAUUGUUUUCAAGCCAUUCAGAAACCAAUGUGAAUUGAACACCUAGUAUGAGCUCUCUGAGGGAAGAGCCAAGUCAUGCAUUUUUUAUCUUAAGGGGUCUUCAAUACCUCUAGCCCAAAACAGUAUCUCCAUCAGGAUUCUUCUCUGAUAGUGUUCAUUUCUUUUUUCUCAAUGGAUGCCUUAAAAAAAAAAUCCUACAAGGAAACCUGUACUCCUCAAAUACACCACUCAGGUGACCAUUAAAUCAUUUACAUUGUUAAUUUCUUUUCAGAUGUGUGUCUUUUUCCCUAGUUACAUCAUCAGGACCUUGAAGGUAGGGACAGGUCUUAGAUUUCUUGAUGCCCCCAUAAAUCUAGGUACAGAGUAGGUCUCUGGACAUCAGUAUAAGGCCCAUGAGCCUGAUAGCUGCCCAGGUGGGUGCUGUGUGCCUGGGCGUGGGAAGGACAAAAGAGAGGUCACUAAAGGGGUUCCUGGGAAGGAAGAGCCCCUCUGACUUUAAAAGGGAGCCCAUACACUUUUUGGACAACUGGAAUAAUCAGAAAGCUGUUUUUGGGGAGGCAGCAGCCAGAAAAACCUGGGGCAUUGGGUCAACCAAAGCCCUUCCCAAGGCUGCAGUGGCUGCAGCUAGUUAGCCCAGCUUCCCUACCAGCCCCAGGGCUGCAACUGAACAGUGUUGGCUUCUUAAUAAAAACAG
This 1922-nucleotide long non-coding RNA is filed under the name Homo sapiens (human). Its description in RNAcentral is "HSALNT0164540". Lineage: Eukaryota; Metazoa; Chordata; Mammalia; Primates; Hominidae. The record is from RNAcentral.